RNAcentral lists this ribosomal RNA (441 nucleotides) under uncultured bacterium. RNAcentral's name for it is "partial 16S ribosomal RNA". It matches the Rfam family "Bacterial small subunit ribosomal RNA", at positions 338 to 795 of the family's 1533-position model. The record is from RNAcentral.
CCUACGGGUGGCAGCAGUCGGGAAUAUUGCGCAAUGGACGAAAGUCUGACGCAGUGACGCCGCGUGCAGGAAGAAGGUUUUCGGAUUGUAAACUGUCUUAUACAGGGGAGAAAAAAGACAGUACUUGUAGAAUAAGCUCCGGCUAACUACGUGCCAGCAGCCGCGGUACUACGGAGGGAGCCAGCGUUAUCCGGAUUUAUUGGGGGUAAAGGGUGCGUAGACGGAGAAGCAAGUUAGUUGGGAAAUCCCUCGGCUUAACUGAGGAACUGCAACUGAAACUACUUCCCUUGAGUACUGGAGAGGAAGGCGGAAUUCGUAGUGUAGCGGUGAAAUGCGUAGAUAUCAGGAGGAACACCAAUGGCGAAGGCGACUUUCUGGACAGUAACUGACGCUGAGGCACGAAAGUGUGGGGAGCAAACAGGAUUAGAUACCCGAGUAGUC